UCACUCUGGGAUGGACCUGCGGUGCAUUAGCUAGUUGGUAAGGUAACGGCUUACCAAGGCGAUGAUGCAUAGCCGAGUUGAGAGACUGAUCGGCCACAAUGGAACUGAGACACGGUCCAUACUCCUACGGGAGGCAGCAGUAGGGAAUCUUCCACAAUGGGCGCAAGCCUGAUGGAGCAACACCGCGUGAGUGAAGAAGGGUUUCGGCUCGUAAAGCUCUGUUGUUGGAGAAGAACGUGCGUGAGAGUAACUGUUCACGCAGUGACGGUAUCCAACCAGAAAGUCACGGCUAACUACGUGCCAGCAGCCGCGGUAAUACGUAGGUGGCAAGCGUUAUCCGGAUUUAUUGGGCGUAAAGCGAGCGCAGGCGGUUGCUUAGGUCUGAUGUGAAAGCCUUCGGCUUAACCGAAGAAGUGCAUCGGAAACCGGGCGACUUGAGUGCAGAAGAGGACAGUGGAACUCCAUGUGUAGCGGUGGAAUGCGUAGAUAUAUGGAAGAACACCAGUGGCGAAGGCGGCUGUCUGGUCUGCAACUGACGCUGAGGCUCGAAAGCAUGGGUAGCGAACAGGAUUAGAUACCCUGGUAGUCCAUGCCGUAAACGAUGAGUGCUAGGUGUUGGAGGGUUUCCGCCCUUCAGUGCC
RNAcentral lists this ribosomal RNA (641 nucleotides) under uncultured bacterium. RNAcentral describes it as "bacterial SSU rRNA". It matches the Rfam family "Bacterial small subunit ribosomal RNA", at positions 215 to 847 of the family's 1533-position model. The record is from RNAcentral.